This 466-nucleotide ribosomal RNA is filed under the name uncultured bacterium. Its description in RNAcentral is "partial 16S ribosomal RNA". It matches the Rfam family "Bacterial small subunit ribosomal RNA", at positions 28 to 507 of the family's 1533-position model. The record is from RNAcentral.
GACGAACGCUGGCGGCGCGCCUAACACAUGCAAGUCGAACGAGCGAGAGAGAGCUUUCUUUCUCGAGCGAGUGGCGAACGGGUGAGUAACGCGUGAGGAACCUGCCUCUAAGAGGGGGACAACAGUUGGAAACGACUGCUCAUACCGCAUAAGCCCACGGUGCCGCAUUGCACAGAGGGAAAAGGAGCAAUACGCUUUGAGGUGGCCUCGCGUCCGCUUAGCUAGUUGGUGAGGUAAUGGCCCACCAAGGCGACGAUCAGUAGCCGGACUGAGAGGGUGAACGGCCACAUUGGGACUGAGACACGGCCCAGACUCCUACGGGAGGCAGCAGUGGGGAAUAUUGCACAGUGGGGGAAAGCCUGAUGCAGCGACGCCGCGUGGAGGAAGAAGGUCUUCGGAUUGUAAACUCCUGUUGUUGGGGAAGAUAAUGACGGUACCCAACAAGGAAGUGACGGCUAACUACGUG